This is a long non-coding RNA of Bombina bombina (fire-bellied toad), 493 nucleotides long. RefSeq lists it as uncharacterized. Lineage: Eukaryota; Metazoa; Chordata; Amphibia; Anura; Bombinatoridae. The transcript is spliced from 3 exons. The record is from RefSeq and is a predicted model, not a curated record.
CUACAUCACCAGCAUUACUUGCUGAAAGCACUGAGGCAGCAUGUGGAAGUGAACAAUUUGAAAAUCCAGCAAUUCAAAAUAUUGAAUUCAUCAUUACCGAUGAUGAAAAUGCAAUUAGUACAAAUGUGGUUGAUGCUGCCAAUGGAGAAGAUUCUCAACCACAUGAACAAGGAAAAAUGGAAGAGAAUAAAUGGGAUAAAAUGUGUCUUUUGAUAGAGAAUAUAAACAACAAUCUCACCAUUUUAAAAGACUCUAUGCUUCACAAUUUAAAAAAAAAAAGACUUCACAAUCAAAAAGUAAGAAGACUUUUAACCAGAGUGAUUGAAAAUCAAAAAGAACAGCGUGCUCUAAUGUUCAGAGAAAGAAGGUGGGAGGGAAGGGCAUUUUAUUCUGGGGUUAAAACACGUGGUGGACCAUUUUAUCAUCCACAUUAAUAUCUUAUGUUUGUUUUUUGGUUUGUUAUUUAGAAAGUUAAUAAAAAGAAUGUUUACAA